GAGGUUUUUGUAUAAAAAUUCGGAGGCUUCAGAGACAAAUGAAUUCGGACAGAGGUGAAAUAAUUUAAACACGACUUAAGGCGAUCAAUCCAUUUUUAUUCGGCCUAAGGCUUGCCUAGGCGUUAUUUAAACCAUAAAAUAAGGUGGACAUGCUUAUUAAAUUCCAGUUUUAAAAGGCGUUUGUUAACCAGUUUUACCAAAUUAGCGAAGUAUUCA
RNAcentral lists this long non-coding RNA (216 nucleotides) under Nicotiana benthamiana. RNAcentral describes it as "long non-coding RNA (NBEN_LNC036308)". The record is from RNAcentral. Lineage: Eukaryota; Viridiplantae; Streptophyta; Magnoliopsida; Solanales; Solanaceae.